GGGAUAAUUAAGCACCUAGCUGGAACGGGAACAAGGAACUCGAGCUGCGUCAUCGACUGUUUGGGAAUGCUUCCGCGUUGUCCACGCUCUGAAUCACAUGUGUAUUCCGUCUAAUGGAAACCACGACGUCACCGGAAGAGUGACAUCACGACCAGGAAGCUAUAAAAGUGCAUGGAUUAAAGCCGCACCAGCUUGUGUUUGUUCAUGAA
Molecule: long non-coding RNA, 209 nt
Organism: Silurus meridionalis
Lineage: Eukaryota; Metazoa; Chordata; Actinopteri; Siluriformes; Siluridae
Exons: 2
Source: RefSeq, a predicted model, not a curated record